Molecule: ribosomal RNA, 1631 nt
Filed under: Escherichia coli
Lineage: Bacteria; Pseudomonadati; Pseudomonadota; Gammaproteobacteria; Enterobacterales; Enterobacteriaceae
Description: partial 23S ribosomal RNA
Rfam family: Bacterial large subunit ribosomal RNA
Source: RNAcentral
AGUAACGAUAAAGCGGGUGAAAAGCCCGCUCGCCGGAAGACCAAGGGUUCCUGUCCAACGUUAAUCGGGGCAGGGUGAGUCGACCCCUAAGGCGAGGCCGAAAGGCGUAGUCGAUGGGAAACAGGUUAAUAUUCCUGUACUUGGUGUUACUGCGAAGGGGGGACGGAGAAGGCUAUGUUGGCCGGGCGACGGUUGUCCCGGUUUAAGCGUGUAGGCUGGUUUUCCAGGCAAAUCCGGAAAAUCAAGGCUGAGGCGUGAUGACGAGGCACUACGGUGCUGAAGCAACAAAUGCCCUGCUUCCAGGAAAAGCCUCUAAGCAUCAGGUAACAUCAAAUCGUACCCCAAACCGACACAGGUGGUCAGGUAGAGAAUACCAAGGCGCUUGAGAGAACUCGGGUGAAGGAACUAGGCAAAAUGGUGCCGUAACUUCGGGAGAAGGCACGCUGAUAUGUAGGUGAAGUCCCUCGCGGAUGGAGCUGAAAUCAGUCGAAGAUACCAGCUGGCUGCAACUGUUUAUUAAAAACACAGCACUGUGCAAACACGAAAGUGGACGUAUACGGUGUGACGCCUGCCCGGUGCCGGAAGGUUAAUUGAUGGGGUCAGCGCAAGCGAAGCUCUUGAUCGAAGCCCCGGUAAACGGCGGCCGUAACUAUAACGGUCCUAAGGUAGCGAAAUUCCUUGUCGGGUAAGUUCCGACCUGCACGAAUGGCGUAAUGAUGGCCAGGCUGUCUCCACCCGAGACUCAGUGAAAUUGAACUCGCUGUGAAGAUGCAGUGUACCCGCGGCAAGACGGAAAGACCCCGUGAACCUUUACUAUAGCUUGACACUGAACAUUGAGCCUUGAUGUGUAGGAUAGGUGGGAGGCUUUGAAGUGUGGACGCCAGUCUGCAUGGAGCCGGCCUUGAAAUACCACCCUUUAAUGUUUGAUGUUCUAACGUUGACCCGUUAUCCGGGUUGCGGACAGUGUCUGGUGGGUAGUUUGACUGGGGCGGUCUCCUCCUAAAGAGUAACGGAGGAGCACGAAGGUUGGCUAAUCCUGGUCGGACAUCAGGAGGUUAGUGCAAUGGCAUAAGCCAGCUUGACUGCGAGCGUGACGGCGCGAGCAGGUGCGAAAGCAGGUCAUAGUGAUCCGGUGGUUCUGAAUGGAAGGGCCAUCGCUCAACGGAUAAAAGGUACUCCGGGGAUAACAGGCUGAUACCGCCCAAGAGUUCAUAUCGACGGCGGUGUUUGGCACCUCGAUGUCGGCUCAUCACAUCCUGGGGCUGAAGUAGGUCCCAAGGGUAUGGCUGUUCGCCAUUUAAAGUGGUACGCGAGCUGGGUUUAGAACGUCGUGAGACAGUUCGGUCCCUAUCUGCCGUGGGCGCUGGAGAACUGAGGGGGGCUGCUCCUAGUACGAGAGGACCGGAGUGGACGCAUCACUGGUGUUCGGGUUGUCAUGCCAAUGGCACUGCCCGGUAGCUAAAUGCGGAAGAGAUAAGUGCUGAAAGCAUCUAAGCACGAAACUUGCCCCGAGAUGAGUUCUCCCUGACUCCUUGAGAGUCCUGAAGGAACGUUGAAGACGACGACGUUGAUAGGCCGGGUGUGUAAGCGCAGCGAUGCGUUGAGCUAACCGGUACUAAUGAACCGUGAGG